CUUGUGUGGCCAGCCUGUGCUGCUGGCAUGGGCAAAGGCAGCUUGCUGAUCUCUGUCCCCACAGAUGUGCUGGCCAGCUGGGCUUCUGGUCAGGCUGGAUGAAAACAGCACAGAGUCUAGGUGCCAUCUCAGACUGCCUCAUACUGAGGGUAAUACAGGGAGGGGACAGGAGAGGAGAAACUGUGGGACUUGCUUUGGUUACAACUCUGAGCUAUACACUGGUGUUUACUUUUUUGUGCAGGCAUUGCGGAUGCUCCAGAGACCAGGACGGGGACCUCAGGGGACAUCAGAGGGUGUGUGGAGGGACCAGCAGCAGCUCUUUGGUCAGGUGCUGGAACUGGGAAAGCAAAACCUGUCUGCUCAUCUUCCUCUUGAAGGAGGAGCAGCCCCUUCAAAACCGAGCUGUGUGCCCGGGCUGAGCCCCCACCGCGCUCCUGCACGACCCCCGCUGCGGCCCCGGCCCGGCUGCCGCGGCUCCGGAUGGCCCCACCAUGGCUGGCGUCCAGCGAGGACUCUGUGA
Molecule: long non-coding RNA, 520 nt
Filed under: Taeniopygia guttata (zebra finch)
Lineage: Eukaryota; Metazoa; Chordata; Aves; Passeriformes; Estrildidae
Description: lncRNA (ENSTGUG00000025234.1)
Source: RNAcentral